This is a long non-coding RNA of Rosa chinensis, 604 nucleotides long. RefSeq lists it as uncharacterized. Lineage: Eukaryota; Viridiplantae; Streptophyta; Magnoliopsida; Rosales; Rosaceae. The transcript is spliced from 3 exons. The record is from RefSeq and is a predicted model, not a curated record.
UCCUCUUUUUCUUUGCUUAUGAAGGAAUUAGGUGCCUGUUAACUAAUCAUAAUCUGCGGUAUGAAUUUGUCGGGAAUGGGUGAUCGAUGAAAGAAAUCUACUCCUCAGUCUGAUAGCGGUCAGGUCUGAUUCGUUUUGAUUUCCCUCUUUCUCACAACCUCAUAUAUGAAAUUUAAGAUGCCAAAUUCCCAGGCUUAUAUAAACCAAGCAAGAAAUUGAGCCAAAAACUUUCGAUCUUUGUCAACAACUCAAACGAUUCAAACUCACUGUAUUUUCCAUAGAAGAACGAUGUGGCCAUGUGAAAAAUCAAAAACCACCCGGUGAGAUUGGUCACCAGCAACUGUUCGAGGAAUUGAGAUCAAGCCUAAUCUCCUCAUACCAUGGCCAAAGUCCUCAGAACAGAGCAGAUUUGUGAUUCUAGAUUACUAGGCAAGUCAAAUAAGAGCUCGGGGAGAUCUAAAUGCUGGAGCUUUGGAUGACGUCGUUUCUUCCAUCAAAGGUUUAAUCUUUCAACAUGGCACGGAAGACUCCAUCUACCUCAAUCUAUCUCCAAAACAGAGCAGAUUUGGAAAGCUAAAUGGGUGGUAUUGGGAAUUAAAGGACA